GGGACUGUCAGCAAGAAAGAAACAAGAGAGCAUGUGAAUGAAAGACAGACUUGGGAAAGGCAAGAAGAAAGUUUGGUGGGUCUCGUGGAGCACAGAGGAGAGGAGAGCUGCUCCUUUCCAAGCAAGUGUGUGCAAGAGAGCGAGCCUUCUGCCAGGGGAAAGGUGGAAGCACGUGAGGAGGAUGAGUUAGGGGAUGGAGCGAGGGUUAAUGGAAAUCUCUGCCCAUUGCUGAAAGGGGCUGGGGGUUUUGUCUGUCCUCUGGGAGCUGGAUGUGACUGUGAGCGCUCCUGUGCUCAGGUCUGGGUUAUGCACUGCCUUGUGAAGGGGAUCAGGACCCCAGACCAAUCAAACCCACCCGGGGCUUCCCUGCUGGGCUGAACCCAGACCCUGUAAGCCGCUGGCACCUUGGAGCGUGUGAGAAAGCAAAUGCCAGAAGGAAACGCCACCCCAGCAUAGGUUACUACUAACAAGAGAGGCUCAGGAGCCAGGUUUGCAGUUUGUAAAAGCUCAGAGCACCAGCAUUGUCCUCACUUCCCUUGGACUGCAGACACCGGGAAACCUGCCUGUGGAAGGAAAAGUCCAAGAGUCAUAAAUCUGCUCUCCCGGCGAACCCCAGCAGGACUCUCUGUGAAUUCCCACAGCCUCGUUCUUUGUCAGCACCGGAGAAACUGGCAGCCUCAGGAGGUCAUCAUGAGAGUUUUUCUUUGAGGAAGAAACGCCUGCCAGCCUCUCACUUGGGAAGGCUGCAAAACUUUCUAGGGAAGGGAAAGGAGCAGCAGCCAUGGAACUGCACGUGUUGGUGCUAGAAUUCAUUCUCCUGCUGCCAGUGUCUUCGUUCACCCCUGGGAACACGCUACAGCCCCGUAUGCCAAACGUUUGUGCGGAGCAAGAGCUGGUGAUAGUGGGGCAUAGGCAGCCAUGUGUCCAAGCUUUCACUCGGAUGGUCAAAGUGUGGAAACCGGGCUGCGGAGGCCAGAUGUGGUGCACUGGCUAUGAACGGAGAACGGCGUACUACACGGACUACAGGCAGGUGUACAGCAUGGAGUACCAGACCGUGUACAAGUGCUGCCCGGGAUGGUCCCAGCUCGGAGGGGAUGCUGGCUGUCUCUACUCUGUCUGCAAUUACGGCGUGUGUUUCAAUGGAGGACACUGCAUGGAAGGAUCUUCUCAGCUCUGUCACUGUCCCUUUGGGUUCCAAGGACCCCGCUGUCAGUAUGAUGUCAACGAAUGCGAAGCUGGGAACGGGGGGUGCGAGUCCCAGUGCUGCAAUACUAUCGGCAGCUUCUACUGCAAGUGCCCCGAAGGGCGGCGGCUGAAGGGAGACGGGAAGGCGUGUGAAGAUGUCGACGAGUGCCAGGUUCAUAACGGGGGCUGCCAGCAGAGAUGUGUGAACACUCUGGGUUCCUAUUACUGCGAGUGCAAGCCAAGCUUUCGCCUGCACACGGAUGGCAGGACCUGCAUUGCUGUGAACACCUGUGCCAUCAGCAACGGUGGAUGUGAACACGACUGUGUGCAGCUGACCCUAACCCAGCAUCAGUGCCAGUGCCGGUACAAUUACCAGCUGACAGAGGAUGGCAAGCACUGUGUCCUGAGGAACCCAUGUGCUGAUCGGAACGGAGGCUGCAUGCACCAGUGCCAAAACCGCCGGGGAGUAGUUCACUGUGAGUGCCACCCUGGCUACAGACUGGCAGCGGAUGGCAAAAGCUGUGAAGAUCUGGAUGAAUGUGCGACCGGGCUGGCCAGGUGUGCGCACAGCUGUCUCAACACCCGUGGCUCCUUUAAAUGCACUUGUAACCCUGGCUAUGAGCUGGGGGAAGAUGGCAAGCAGUGCUACAGGAUAGAGAUGGAGAUUGUGAAUAGCUGUGAGGCCAAUAACGGUGGUUGUUCCCACCUCUGCAGUCACACUAGCUCCGGCCCUGUCUGCUCCUGUAACUUUGGUUAUCAGCUCGAUGAGGACCAGAAAACCUGCACUGAUAUCAAUGACUGUGAGGCCCAUUCUCAUUGCUGUCAGCAGGACUGUUACAAUUAUCCUGGUGGCUACGACUGCGUUUGCUAUGCUGGCUACAGGCUCAGCGCCGAUGGUUGUGGGUGCGAUGACGUGGAUGAGUGCUCCUCAAAUAAUGGGGAAUGUGAGCACACGUGCCAGAACGUGGUGGGGUCCUUCCAAUGCAGCUGCCAGACUGGAUACAAACUGGAUGAAGAUCGGAGGAGCUGUACUUCUCUAGAUGACUUUGUAGAAGCCGUGGAUGGACGACAUCCCAUCCUUCGCACCAUCCCUCACGUCGCCGUCCUGCGAGAUGAGUACACUCAGCUCCUGGAUGAAGAGUAUGAAGAGGAAGAGGUGGAAGCAAGAGGAGAGCAUACGCUUUCAGAAAAAUUUGUCUGCUUGGAGGAGACCUUCGGUCCCGACUGCAGCCUGACAUGUGACGAUUGCCGCAACGGCGGUACGUGCCGUGAGGACCGGACGGGCUGUGACUGUCCGGAGGGCUGGAGUGGAAUCCUAUGCAAUCAGACCUGCCCCGAAGGCAGCUCGCCCCCCCCCCCUGCCGCUGUAAGAAUGGAGGCUCGUGCGAUCCAGUGACUGGGAAGUGCCGCUGCCCGCCUGGGGUCAGUGGAGAACUGUGUGAGGAUGGCUGCCCUAAAGGGUUCUUUGGGAAACAAUGCAGGAAGAAAUGCAACUGUGCCAACAGAGGUCGGUGCCAUCGGAUUUACGGGGCCUGUUUGUGUGACCCCGGACUUUACGGACGAUACUGCCACUUAGGUGAGUCCGCCCAGCUGUAGAAGGGGUGGCUGACUGCUGGUGUGACCCCUGGUGGCUG
This is a non-coding RNA of Pelodiscus sinensis (Chinese soft-shelled turtle), 2819 nucleotides long. The record is from RefSeq and is a predicted model, not a curated record. Lineage: Eukaryota; Metazoa; Chordata; Testudines; Trionychidae.